UACGGAGGGUGCAAGCGUUGUCCGGAAUCAUUGGGCGUAAAGAGUUCGUAGGUGGUAUGUUAAGUCUGGUGUCAAAGCCCGAAGCUCAACUUCGGUUCGGCACUGGAUACUGGCAAACUUGAAUGUGGUAGAGGUAAAGGGAAUUCCUGGUGUAGCGGUGAAAUGCGUAGAUAUCAGGAGGAACAUCGGUGGCGUAAGCGCUUUACUGGGCCAUUAUUGACACUGAGGAACGAAAGCCGGGGUAGCAAAUGGG
RNAcentral lists this ribosomal RNA (253 nucleotides) under uncultured microorganism. Its description in RNAcentral is "partial small subunit ribosomal RNA". It matches the Rfam family "Bacterial small subunit ribosomal RNA", at positions 524 to 776 of the family's 1533-position model. The record is from RNAcentral.